GGGUGCGAUCAUACCAGCAGUAAUGCACCGGAUCCCAUCAGAACUCCGAAGUUAAACGUGCUUGGGCGAGAGUAGUACUAAGAUGGGUGACCUCUUGGGAAGUCCUCGUGUUGCACCAC
Molecule: ribosomal RNA, 119 nt
Filed under: Ricinus communis (castor bean)
Lineage: Eukaryota; Viridiplantae; Streptophyta; Magnoliopsida; Malpighiales; Euphorbiaceae
Source: RNAcentral